Molecule: ribosomal RNA, 279 nt
Filed under: uncultured bacterium
Lineage: Bacteria
Description: partial 16S ribosomal RNA
Rfam family: Bacterial small subunit ribosomal RNA
Source: RNAcentral
UGCCAGCCGCCGCGGUAAUACGUAGGUGGCGAGCGUUGUCCGGAUUUACUGGGCGUAAAGAGCGCGCAGGCGGCCAUGUAAGUCGAAUGUGAAAGCCCCCGGCUCAACUGGGGAAGGUCAUUCGAUACUGCUUGGCUUGAAGAUAGGAGAGGGAAGCGGAAUUUCCGGUGUAGUGGUGAAAUGCGUAGAUAUCGGAAGGAACACCAGUGGCGAAGGCGGCUUUCUGGCCUAUUCUUGACGCUGAGGCGCGAAAGCUAGGGGAGCGAACGGGAUUAGAUA